Coregonus clupeaformis (lake whitefish) is the source of this 604-nucleotide long non-coding RNA. RefSeq lists it as uncharacterized. The transcript is spliced from 3 exons. Lineage: Eukaryota; Metazoa; Chordata; Actinopteri; Salmoniformes; Salmonidae. The record is from RefSeq and is a predicted model, not a curated record.
UUUACAGAUUGCGCAUUGAUACUACACCAUGCUUUUCCCUUUACCCAUCAUGCCCUUGUGCUUUCAGCCAGACCCAGGGCCCUGUCGAUGUUGGAGGAGGAGCGUGGGGUAUCCAUCGCCAUGGAGACGUGGCUGAAGGACAGGUUGAGCGAGGGCGUCCAGAGAAUGAAAUCCCAGUUUGACCAACUGGAUCCAGACCAGACCUUCAAGGUGGGCCUGGAGGAGUUUCUGCAGGUGCUGAAGACCUUUGGCCUGAAUCUAAAGAGGGAGCAUGUGGGCUUGUUUCUGGCCAGCUCAACAAGACAGGUGUGAUCCAUUACCCAGAGUUCCUCCGCAUGUUUCAGGACCGCAGAGAGGAAGGGGUCACACACAGGAUCCUAUCCAACCCACAACACAGGUUUCAUCAUAUCCAGGGGAGCAUCAGCCACGCGUCCACACUCACCAUGGUGGAGGCUAAACUGGCUCGACUCUUCCAGUCAGAGUACCUCGAUCUGUUAGAAACGUUUCAGUAAGUAUAGAGUCACAUGGUGACUCAACAAAUAGCAAAUAUGAGCAUAUUGUAACAGCUAGAUACACUACAUGACUGAAAGUAUGUGGACAUCUG